This 78-nucleotide ribosomal RNA is filed under the name Rhizobium oryzicola. Its description in RNAcentral is "partial 16S ribosomal RNA". It matches the Rfam family "Bacterial small subunit ribosomal RNA", at positions 1 to 78 of the family's 1533-position model. The record is from RNAcentral. Lineage: Bacteria; Pseudomonadati; Pseudomonadota; Alphaproteobacteria; Hyphomicrobiales; Rhizobiaceae.
CAACUUGAGAGUUUGAUCCUGGCUCAGAACGAACGCUGGCGGCAGGCUUAACACAUGCAAGUCGAACGCCCCGCAAGG